GCUUGUGUAGCACAGUUGGUAGUGCAACUCAUUCGUAAUGAGUAGGUCGUCGGUUCGAGUCCGAUCGCGAGCU
This 73-nucleotide transfer RNA is filed under the name Lachnoanaerobaculum saburreum. RNAcentral's name for it is "tRNA-Thr(cgt)". It matches the Rfam family "tRNA". From Rfam's summary of the family: Transfer RNA (tRNA) molecules are approximately 80 nucleotides in length. Their secondary structure includes four short double-helical elements and three loops (D, anti-codon, and T loops). RNAcentral also lists the same sequence under 14 other names. Lineage: Bacteria; Bacillati; Bacillota; Clostridia; Lachnospirales; Lachnospiraceae. The record is from RNAcentral.